UUCGUGAACGAGCUAUUACCGUCUUUCCAAGAAAAGGAUGGGGUUUUGCAUGAGGGAUUGAUGAGUUGCCGAAUAGGCAUGAUCACGUGCCAUCUACUGUGAUGAAAGGUGGGUAGGUGCAAUCUGCGCCGUUGUUUUGGGGGGUGGAUAUGCUUCUCGCGCUCUUCAAGGAUUCCCGCAAAGUGCAAAGAGCUUAUUAAUCUUGACCAACAGGUUGAUGCGAGAUUGCAAAAUUUAAAAAAAGAGGUGGUUGUCCAAGAUUCUAAGAACUAAAUCACAGGAAGACUCUUGCACAGGGCUGGGAAAUUGAGUUGAAGAAGUUAGAGGAUUCCAUCAAGUAUAUACAUGAAGAGAUGAUAUAUGUGCGUGAAACGUAUUUCAUGAUUUUGUCUUUCUGUUUUUCUGUCGCUCUUAAAUCACAGUUUGGUGAUUUAAAGCAUUACUGGAGAUUACUGGAGAAUGAAUUGGCAGGUUACUGCAAUCAGGGAGAUGCUAGUUAAUGUAGGAGAUCCUAGGAUGAAUGCUAUCCCAAAAUGUUGGAAUCGGGCAUCACAGUAUUUCAUUAUUCCAUCAAGGUAGGGAUCUACCCAGGUGGAUAAUGAAUA
Molecule: long non-coding RNA, 605 nt
Organism: Dioscorea cayenensis subsp. rotundata (Guinea yam)
Lineage: Eukaryota; Viridiplantae; Streptophyta; Magnoliopsida; Dioscoreales; Dioscoreaceae
Exons: 3
Source: RefSeq, a predicted model, not a curated record